UAGUCCACGCCGUAAACGAUGAUCACUCGUUGUAUGCCUAUAUUUGGUAUGCGACUGAGUGAAAGCAUUAAGUGAUCCACCUGGGGAGUACGUUCGCAAGAAUGAAACUCAAAGGAAUUGACGGGGGCCCGCACAAGCGGUGGAACAUGUGGCUUAAUUCGAUGAUACGCGAGGAACCUUACCUGGGCUUAAAUGUAGAGUGCAUUCACUAGAAAUAGAGAUUUCCUUCGGGACUCUUUACAAGGUGCUGCAUGGUUGUCGUCAGCUCGUGCCGUGAGGUGUCGGGUUAAGUCCCAUAACGAGCGCAACCCCUAUCGUUAGUUGCUAGCAGGUAAUGCUGAGGACUCUAACGAAACUGCCGGUGUAAACCGAGAGGAAGGUGGGGAUGACGUCAAAUCAGCACGGCCCUUAUGUCCAGGGGCUACACACGUGUUACAAUGGUCGAUACAAUGGGCAGCUACCUGGGCAACAGGGAUGCUAAUCUCCAAAGUCGAUCUCA
RNAcentral lists this ribosomal RNA (499 nucleotides) under uncultured bacterium. RNAcentral's name for it is "bacterial SSU rRNA". It matches the Rfam family "Bacterial small subunit ribosomal RNA", at positions 791 to 1290 of the family's 1533-position model. The record is from RNAcentral.